CAGCAGCCGCGGUAAAACAGAGGGUGCGAGCGUUAAUCGGAUUUACUGGGCGUAAAGCGUGCGUAGGCGGCUUUUUAAGUCGGAUGUGAAAUCCCUGAGCUUAACUUAGGAAUUGCAUUCGAUACUGGGAAGCUAGAGUAUGGGAGAGGAUGGUAGAAUUCCAGGUGUAGCGGUGAAAUGCGUAGAGAUCUGGAGGAAUACCGAUGGCGAAGGCAGCCAUCUGGCCUAAUACUGACGCUGAGGUACGAAAGCAUGGGGAGCAAACAGGAUUAGAUACCCCCGUAGUCCUUGUCUCUUAUAC
This 301-nucleotide ribosomal RNA is filed under the name uncultured bacterium. RNAcentral's name for it is "partial 16S ribosomal RNA". It matches the Rfam family "Bacterial small subunit ribosomal RNA", at positions 509 to 807 of the family's 1533-position model. The record is from RNAcentral.